This 549-nucleotide ribosomal RNA is filed under the name uncultured bacterium. Its description in RNAcentral is "bacterial SSU rRNA". It matches the Rfam family "Bacterial small subunit ribosomal RNA", at positions 355 to 895 of the family's 1533-position model. The record is from RNAcentral.
UAGGGAAUCUUCGGCAAUGGACGGAAGUCUGACCGAGCAACGCCGCGUGAGUGAAGAAGGUUUUCGGAUCGUAAAGCUCUGUUGUUAGAGAAGAACGUUGGUAGGAGUGGAAAAUCUACCAAGUGACGGUAACUAACCAGAAAGGGACGGCUAACUACGUGCCAGCAGCCGCGGUAAUACGUAGGUCCCGAGCGUUGUCCGGAUUUAUUGGGCGUAAAGCGAGCGCAGGCGGUUCUUUAAGUCUGAAGUUAAAGGCAGUGGCUUAACCAUUGUACGCUUUGGAAACUGGAGGACUUGAGUGCAGAAGGGGAGAGUGGAAUUCCAUGUGUAGCGGUGAAAUGCGUAGAUAUAUGGAGGAACACCGGUGGCGAAAGCGGCUCUCUGGUCUGUAACUGACGCUGAGGCUCGAAAGCGUGGGGAGCAAACAGGAUUAGAUACCCUGGUAGUCCACGCCGUAAACGAUGAGUGCUAGGUGUUAGGCCCUUUCCGGGGCUUAGUGCCGCAGCUAACGCAUUAAGCACUCCGCCUGGGGAGUACGACCGCAAGGUU